CCUACGGGCGGCAGCAGUGGGGAAUAUUGCGCAAUGUGCGAAAGCCUGACGCAGCGACGCCGCGUGAGGGAUGAAGGUCUUCGGAUCGUAAACCUCUGUCAGCAGGGAAGAACGGUCACUGUGCUAAUCAGCAGUGAAUUGACGGUACCUGCAAAGGAAGCACCGGCUAACUCCGUGCCAGCAGCCGCGGUAAUACGGAGGGUGCGAGCGUUAAUCGGAAUUACUGGGCGUAAAGCGCUCGUAGGCGGUAGUGCAAGUCAAGGGUGAAAUCCCCGCGCUCAACGUGGGAACUGCCUUUGAAACUGGCAAACUGGAGUGUGGGAGAGGAUAGUGGAAUUGCAGGGGGAGGAGUGAAAGCCGUAGAUAUCUGGAGGAACAACAGUGGCGAAGGCGACUAUCUGGCACAUAACUGACGCUGAGGAGCGAAAGCGUGGGUAGCAAACAGGAUUAGAUACCCGAGUAGUC
RNAcentral lists this ribosomal RNA (465 nucleotides) under uncultured bacterium. RNAcentral's name for it is "partial 16S ribosomal RNA". It matches the Rfam family "Bacterial small subunit ribosomal RNA", at positions 338 to 795 of the family's 1533-position model. The record is from RNAcentral.